UGGAACCUAGGGGGGCAGCAGUGAGGAAUAUUGGUCAAUGGCCGAGAGGCUGAACCAGCCAAGUCGCGUGAGGGAAGACGGCCCUACGGGUUGUAAACCUCUUUUGUCGGGGAGCAAAGAGAGUCACGUGUGACUCAUUGAGAGUACCCGAAGAAAAAGCAUCGGCUAACUCCGUGCCAGCAGCCGCGGUAAUACGGAGGAUGCGAGCGUUAUCCGGAUUUAUUGGGUUUAAAGGGUGCGCAGGCGGAGGUGCAAGUCAGCGGUCAAAUUGCGGGGCUCAACCCCGGCCCGCCGUUGAAACUGGC
RNAcentral lists this ribosomal RNA (305 nucleotides) under uncultured bacterium. RNAcentral's name for it is "bacterial SSU rRNA". It matches the Rfam family "Bacterial small subunit ribosomal RNA", at positions 332 to 636 of the family's 1533-position model. The record is from RNAcentral.